RNAcentral lists this ribosomal RNA (319 nucleotides) under uncultured Sarcomonadea. Its description in RNAcentral is "bacterial SSU rRNA". The stretch from base 104 to 319 matches the Rfam family "Eukaryotic small subunit ribosomal RNA", at positions 738 to 955 of the family's 1831-position model. The record is from RNAcentral. Lineage: Eukaryota; Cercozoa.
GAUUUCUGGUGUGGUGCGCCGAGCCCGUCUCUUAUGGGGAUGAGUGCUUGUUGCGUGCCUGCCAUACUUCGGAGGGUUUUCACAGUGGAAGCAAUUUCAUUGUGUGCCUUCGAUCAUUUACUUUGAAAAAAUUAGAGUGUUUAAAGCAGGCUGACGCUAUGAAUACAUUAGCAUGGAAUAAUAAGAUAGGACUUCGGUUCUAUUUUGUUGGUUUCUAGGACUGAAGUAAUGAUUGAUAGGGACAGUUGGGGGUGCUAGUAUUUAACGGCCAGAGGUGAAAUUCUUGGAUUCGUUAAAGACUAACUUAUGCGAAAGCAUU